CUCUGCCCAAACGCGCUCUGUUCGGAGAGACUUUUCCUGCUAUCCCAGCUGAACCUGCCCCGGCUCAGCUUCGUGCUGUUGGCUGGAGUCCUCAGGUCUCUCCUGGGGUCUCCCCUCACCUCCUCCAGCUGGACAGACCGAGUGCCCUCAGCCGGCCCGCACGCGCGUUCCCCUCCAGGCCCCUCAGUGCCCUCCAAAGCUCAGUGUUUUUUCCGUUCUGUGGUGCCCAAAACCGAGCACAGCACCCGAGGAGAAACUGCACCAGGGACGGGUGUGCACCUCAGCGGUGAGGCGAACAAAAGGGACAAAGGCAGCGUGAGGUCUUGCCAGAAAUUCUGAUCCUGUAGACAAUGCUGCACUGAACACUUCCCAGCUCUCAGCAAUCCCUUUGGGAAAAGUGGGAAGUGUUCCCAAGGCUGGAUGCCAGGUAAGCAAUAAAGUCAGAGGAAAAGAAGUUACACCCCUCCUUUUUCAUCUCCAUACCCUAUGAUUUCCCUGUCACCAGGCAAACUAUUUCCAUGAUUUCUAUGGAUUCAAGUGAAACCAGUUGAUUUUCCAAAGAUCCCAAUUCUUCAUUCCCUGCCAAGAAAUGCUUACAAGGAAACAGCCGUGAGUAGUUGAAUUCCUCGUAGCAGCACAAGCAAAAUGGGAAAGUGCCAAUUAUUGUGUCAGAGACCCUGGAGAAUGAUGGAUGCUGGCCUUGCCUUUUUCCACCAGGUGUUUGCAACUCUGUGUUAAGGAAGAAUUGGAAGUGCACUGUGCCAGCAGCAGCCCUGGGAAGCAGACUGUUACAUCCUG
Long non-coding RNA from Oenanthe melanoleuca, 798 nucleotides. RefSeq lists it as uncharacterized. The transcript has 4 exons. Lineage: Eukaryota; Metazoa; Chordata; Aves; Passeriformes; Muscicapidae. The record is from RefSeq and is a predicted model, not a curated record.